This is an unclassified non-coding RNA of Macaca mulatta (Rhesus monkey), 148 nucleotides long. It matches the Rfam family "Metazoan signal recognition particle RNA". From Rfam's summary of the family: The signal recognition particle (SRP) is a universally conserved ribonucleoprotein. It is involved in the co-translational targeting of proteins to membranes. The eukaryotic SRP consists of a 300-nucleotide 7S RNA and six proteins: SRPs 72, 68, 54, 19, 14, and 9. NCBI's taxonomy places the organism in Eukaryota, Metazoa, Chordata, Mammalia, Primates, Cercopithecidae. The record is from Ensembl.
GCCGGGUGUGGUGGUGUGUGCCUGUAAUCCCAGCUACUUGGGAGGCUGAGGCAGGAGAAUUGCUUGAACCCAGGAGGCAGAGGUUGCAGUGAGCCGAGAUCAUGACACUGCAUGCCAACCUGGGUGACAGAGCAAGAUUCUGUCUCAA